CAGCACGGCAGACGCCCUCGCACCCCGUCCGGAGCAGGUUAGGGGAGCGGGCGUGGGGAGGGAGGGAGGAGAAGGGACCAGUCGGCGGUAACCACCCUUUGGGAUCGGGUAAGAGGGUUAGUUGUGUCGGCGGUGAGGAGAGGGAGGAGCGAGGGAGUGGUGUCGGCGUUGGAUCCCCGAGGCAGCAAGGAAAGAUACUCUAGGUGGCGGAGGGCUCCAGGAUAGACGGGAUCCAACGCUCCUUCGGCGCCGUCCUCCUCUCUGGAGCCACGCUCCUUCCACGCCUCCUCCUCGAGUUGGUCCCGCAGCAGCCAGCCUCCUCCCUUCGUCUCCUACGCUCGGUCCUCCGCCUGGCCGAGCCGAGUCUGUACCUCGACGGCGACGCCGGAGGAGCGGCCGGAGGAAGCAGAAGUACACCCAAACGAGCGCACCGUUCACCACAACGCAACGGCUACUGUGUCGGUCUUAACGGCAAGUACUGCGGAAACAAGGACUUAAAAAGAAAGAUCACCAACCCACGACGGUACUUUGGACAUUGUCGUCGUUCUACGUCAAGAGCUGUUUAGCGAAAAUCUAGACUCUUUCUUCUACUUGUCCUCUUAGGUUAUCUUCUUAAACCACUUCUUGUUCCCAACGCCUACCUUCUCAUGCAAUAAAGCUGCCAGGAGAUAAAAAGACAACACACACGGAAGUCCAGGUAGUCCAUAUUAACACGAAGUGGAUGGAAGGCAACAAAAGACAACAGAACCACAAAAGGGAAAACAAAUUAAGCAACAACACAGCGAGCUCCCGUAAAACUAAUCAGACUUAAUACGAAAACGAAAUCGAUUCUACUUAAAUACUUACCAACGGAAAAAGACAACUGAUUCACAAACACACAUCUCCAAGUAGAGGGGGGAAAAGUAACACGUCGUAAAAAAGGGUGAAUCAAAUGUAUACAAACAACAACCAUCACAUGAGAAGGAGUACCUAAAAACCCGCAAGUACAAGAAAGAUACGAAAUUCUUACAAAUCAAGGUUACCUUUUAUCCUACAUAGUACCUAGGUUUCUACUCUCAUAUCAACUAGGUAAAAGAAACACGAUGUCUCAAUAAACGGUACAAGAAUAAAAAAUUUACACCGUUACCUGUUGAACAAAGUGAUGUUGAAUUUGAACUUUUUAUUUUCUUUACAUUAAAACUUCCUUUUACAUUUAUAUUGUAUUUCUAACAACAAACCCGCAACAGGACACACGUACUAAUACACACACGAAUACUGGAUAACCACACAAUAUACCCAAUUCAUCAUUUCGUCAGAACAAAUACAAGUUUUUGUCUGGAUAAGUUAUGCUAAAGUGUUUCUCUAAGUGUCGAUGGUCAUGGGUUGUUACGAAGUUGGAACAAACAUAUGGCAUACAAAUGGAGAAUUAAAGAAAAUGGGAAAUCAAUAAUACUAGUGUAGGAACAAAAUUUAACAGAUGAAUGUAUUUUUGCAAACGAAUGGGACGGAUCGACAGUUGGUACCAAAAUCAUACGCCAAAUAAAGUGACAAUAUUCGGAACGAUUCGUUUAUUUAUGACCUGGUUUAGUCACCGCGUAACUUAGUCUUUUGCUCCUACUUUAUAUAUUCUUUUACACAUGUUCAAGGUCAAAUCUCGAGUACAUGUAAGUGAGAACUAAAGAACUAAGUGAGCCACUACGUAUCAGAUGUUCACUUUAGGGGAAGGCAAUAUCUAAGGGGUGAAGAAGUACUCCGAUUAAUAAAACUAUAUAUAUGGUAUACAUUAAUGUAAAAACCAAAACUCUCACGUUACACAUUUCAUCCCUUCCUGAUGGAUGUGAUCUAGUAACUGACAGUUGAUAAUUUUCCCCGUAACAUUAAGUUCAUUGUUAUACAAGACUAUCCCUUCCAGGUGUUCAUUAUACCGACCUUCUUACUACACUAAACUAUGAGACGAUACAACUAGAACUCUCUUUUACAAAAUAAGAAUCAAAAAGAAUCUACAUGUAACUAGACAACACUUAUAACACGAGAGUUUGUCACAAAGGGGGGGCGAUUUAACAAUAAUAAUCGAACGAGGUAGGACAAAAAACAACAAGACAGGGGUGGAACUUCUAUACAGGUCAUCAAGUGAGUACGGUAAUUAUAAACUGUCGAAACAAGGAGAUAUCGCGAGGUCCAUAUAGACGUUUCACAGCGUAUUAUAAACCAGGUUCGAACGUUAACAAGUCCACUAAACUUGAAGGAAAUAGAACUUACCUGAACAUGAGGUCGGUUUAAGUUCACUACUUUCGAGUCAAAGCAGGGAGGUCACAUGCAGGACCAAAUAAUAUACUACUUACGAAAGAUGAGCGAAGGUAGAUAGUACACAAGUAUCAAACUAAUUACUAUUACGAAAGAUGCGUGAAUGGGAAGGAUCUAAUCAUCCCGGAACCAGGUGGUUGGUUUUAGAGGGGACAAAAUAAGAAAACACGAUGAACCCGGAAAAUUCCAGACAAAAAACAAGCGAAACCCUUAUUUUUUCUCAAAGAAUUAAAAUCUAAACUUGUAAUCUGUAUCUCCAUACUCAGUCACAUGACCAAACUGUUCACCAUAACAGUAUAAGUGUACACGAAACCUUUAUUCUUUUCUUAUUCAACCAAAAACCAAACUUACAGUACGUUUUUAGUAUGCUCACUUCCCUCGAGAGUCAGGUAUUAGACUGACAAUAAACCGCAACUCUAAGAAAGAAGACGAGAAGAUUAUAAGGACGGACCCACCGAAGUGUACACGAAAGCAGAGAUGUACACAAAACGAUGAACCAACUCUGGACGAGAAGAUAACGGAGAGAUGUACACAAAACGAUGUUUGAAUACAGACUUGGUUCUAAUCCAGAAUGCUGCCCUAUUCGGUUAGGGAUUUAUUAGACCGUUGUAAUGAUCCUUCCUCCCCAAUACACGACUAACCACAAAAUUCAACAACCACCUCGAUGUGGAAACUCGCCUACGGCAAGCAACAUCUAGGUCGCCGAGUUGUACGUAAGGAAGAAGUUGACUUCGAGGUUGGACUCGUUCCCGUACCAUCGUCUACUACAGAAAUACACAGUCUUCUCCGCUGGCCAACCAACUAAAACAUGUGUGUAAGACAUUUAAUUUGAAUCGUUAUUUCGAAGUCGUUCACACAAGAAACAGUAGAGGGAAAGUAUACACAGUGGAAGACCAAGAAAUUAGACAUAACAUGUUGUAAACUGAUAGGUUAAUUAAAAAACAUUUGGUUGAGUUGUCGAAACUUAGUUACUGGUGUACACG
This 3266-nucleotide ribosomal RNA is filed under the name Triticum aestivum (bread wheat). Its description in RNAcentral is "partial small subunit ribosomal RNA". Lineage: Eukaryota; Viridiplantae; Streptophyta; Magnoliopsida; Poales; Poaceae. The record is from RNAcentral.